GUCCUUAUAGUUUAAUGGAUAAAAUACAAGAUUCCGAUUCUUGUGAUAAAGGUUCGAUUCCUUUUAAGGGCGCCA
RNAcentral lists this transfer RNA (75 nucleotides) under Staphylococcus sp. RNAcentral's name for it is "tRNA-Arg". It matches the Rfam family "tRNA". From Rfam's summary of the family: Transfer RNA (tRNA) molecules are approximately 80 nucleotides in length. Their secondary structure includes four short double-helical elements and three loops (D, anti-codon, and T loops). Lineage: Bacteria; Bacillati; Bacillota; Bacilli; Caryophanales; Staphylococcaceae. The record is from RNAcentral. RNAcentral also lists the same sequence under 3 other names.